This 72-nucleotide transfer RNA is filed under the name Choloepus hoffmanni (Hoffmann's two-fingered sloth). Its description in RNAcentral is "tRNA-Glu (TTC) (tRNA-Glu-TTC-3-1, tRNA-Glu-TTC-3-2)". It matches the Rfam family "tRNA". From Rfam's summary of the family: Transfer RNA (tRNA) molecules are approximately 80 nucleotides in length. Lineage: Eukaryota; Metazoa; Chordata; Mammalia; Pilosa; Megalonychidae. The record is from RNAcentral.
UCCCUGGUGGUCUAGUGGCUAGGAUUCGGCGCUUUCACCGCCGCGCCCCGGGUUCGAUUCCCGGUCAGGGAA